Molecule: ribosomal RNA, 253 nt
Filed under: uncultured bacterium
Lineage: Bacteria
Description: partial 16S ribosomal RNA
Rfam family: Bacterial small subunit ribosomal RNA
Source: RNAcentral
UACAGAGGGUGCGAGCGUUGUCCGGAAUCACUGGGCGUAAAGGGCGCGUAGGCGGGCGGUCAAGUCGGGGGUGAAAUCUUUCAGCUUAACUGGAAAAGUGCCUCCGAUACUGAUCGCCUCGAGGGAGGUAGGGGCAUGUGGAACUUCCGGUGGAGCGGUGAAAUGCGUAGAUAUCGGAAGGAACGCCGGUGGCGAAGGCGGCUAUCUGGACGACAACUGACGCUGAGGCGCGAAAGCGUGGGGAGCGAACAGG